AACGAACGCUGGCGGCAUGCCUAACACAUGCAAGUCGAACGAGACCUUCGGGUCUAGUGGCGCACGGGUGCGUAACGCGUGGGAACCUGCCCUUAGGUUCGGAAUAACUCCCCGAAAGGGGUGCUAAUACCGGAUAAUGUCUUCGGACCAAAGAUUUAUCGCCUUUGGAUGGGCCCGCGUUGGAUUAGCUAGUUGGUAGGGUAAAAGCCUACCAAGGCGACGAUCCAUAGCUGGUCUGAGAGGAUGAUCAGCCACACUGGGACUGAGACACGGCCCAGACUCCUACGGGAGGCAGCAGUGGGGAAUAUUGGACAAUGGGCGAAAGCCUGAUCCAGCAAUGCCGCGUGAGUGAUGAAGGGCUUAGGGUUGUAAAGCUCUUUUACACGGGAUGAUAAUGACAGUACCGGGAGAAUAAGCUCCGGCUAACUCCGUG
Molecule: ribosomal RNA, 433 nt
Filed under: uncultured bacterium
Lineage: Bacteria
Description: partial 16S ribosomal RNA
Rfam family: Bacterial small subunit ribosomal RNA
Source: RNAcentral